RNAcentral lists this ribosomal RNA (253 nucleotides) under uncultured bacterium. RNAcentral's name for it is "partial 16S ribosomal RNA". It matches the Rfam family "Bacterial small subunit ribosomal RNA", at positions 524 to 776 of the family's 1533-position model. The record is from RNAcentral.
UACGGGGGGGGCAAGCGUUGUUCGGAAUUACUGGGCGUAAAGGGCUCGUAGGCGGCCAACUAAGUCAUACGUGAAAUCCCUCGGCUUAACCGGGGAACUGCGUCUGAUACUGGAUGGCUUGAGUUCGGGAGAGGGAUGCGGAAUUCCAGGUGUAGCGGUGAAAUGCGUAGAUAUCUGGAGGAACACCGGUGGCGAAGGCGGCAUCCUGGACCGGUAUUGACGCUGAGGAGCGAAAGCGUGGGUAGCAAACAGG